AGUGAACGCUGGCGGUAGGCCUAACACAUGCAAGUCGAACGGCAGCACAGUAAGAGCUUGCUCUUACGGGUGGCGAGUGGCGGACGGGUGAGGAAUACAUCGGAAUCUACUUUUUCGUGGGGGAUAACGUAGGGAAACUCACGCUAAUACCGCAUACGACCUACGGGUGAAAGCAGGGGAUCUUCGGACCUUGCGCGAUUGCAUGAGCCGAUGUCGGAUUAGCUAGUUGGCGGGGUAAAGGCCCACCAAGGCGACGAUCCGUAGCUGGUCUGAGAGGAUGAUCAGCCACCAUGGAACUGAGACACGGUCCAGACUCCUACGGGAGGCAGCAGUGGGGAAUAUUGGACAAUGGGCGCAAGCCUGAUCCAGCCAUACCGCGUGGGUGAAGAAGGCCUUCGGGUUGUAAAGCCCUUUUGUUGGGAAAGAAAAGCAGCAGGUUAAUACCCCGCUGUUCUGACGGUACCCAAAGAAUAAGCACCGGCUAACUUCGUG
Molecule: ribosomal RNA, 492 nt
Filed under: uncultured bacterium
Lineage: Bacteria
Description: partial 16S ribosomal RNA
Rfam family: Bacterial small subunit ribosomal RNA
Source: RNAcentral